CUACGGGUCGCAGCAGUGGGGAAUAUUGCACAAUGGGCGCAAGCCUGAUGCAGCAACGCCGUGUGAGUGAUGAAGGUCUUCGGAUUGUAAAACUCUGUCCUAUGGGAAGAAAAAAAUGACGGUACCAUAGGAGGAAGCCCCGGCUAACUACGUGCCAGCAGCCGCGGUAAUACGUAGGGGGCAAGCGUUAUCCGGAAUCACUGGGCGUAAAGGGUGCGUAGGCGGCCUAUCAAGUCAGAGGUGAAAGGCAUUGGCUCAACCAAUGUAAGCCUUUGAAACUGUUAGGCUUGAGUGCAGGAGAGGUAAGUGGAAUUCCUAGUGUAGAGGUGAAAUUCGUAGAUAUUAGGAGGAACACCAGUGGCGAAGGCGACUUACUGGACUGUAACUGACGCUGAGGCACGAAAGCGUGGGGAGCGAACAGGAUUAGAUACCCCCGUAGUC
Molecule: ribosomal RNA, 441 nt
Filed under: uncultured bacterium
Lineage: Bacteria
Description: partial 16S ribosomal RNA
Rfam family: Bacterial small subunit ribosomal RNA
Source: RNAcentral